Aphis gossypii (cotton aphid) is the source of this 1237-nucleotide RNA transcript. It is a transcript of the gene named tetratricopeptide repeat protein 12-like, with no coding region annotated. The transcript has 6 exons. NCBI's taxonomy places the organism in Eukaryota, Metazoa, Arthropoda, Insecta, Hemiptera, Aphididae. The record is from RefSeq and is a predicted model, not a curated record.
AUGCGUAUACGCAGUGGUUUAUAUUAUUAUUAUAUCAAACGACGUUGUGUACUGUUUUCACUCGUCAUUUGGCACUCGACCAUCUCUAUAGGCAAAUCGCGUGUACGCCAACGCAGCUGCAGCGAGCACACGGUGUCGUUGUACUUUAUAACAUAGUUGUGUGUACACAUAUGUAUAUAGAAUAUAGAUACUGAACUAUCCGAGUACGUUUUAAAUUGGUCUCAUCGAAUCCAACCGCCCGACCAUGGACGACGAAGAGUUUGAAGAAUCUAUGCGCAAAGUCAAUCUCAUAGGUGGAAUUAUUAAGGAUAUGAGUUCGAAAAAUGAAGCCAAAUCCAAAGUAGGCAUGCUCCGGGCAGAAGAGCUGUUGGGUAAUGGUGAAAAAGUGUGGGACGAAAGUUCACUGAAAACUGUGCAUAAUGGUACGAAGAUAAACCGUAAGGCUUUCGAAGACCUAGGAAAACCCAAAGAUGAAAUACCUGCUGAUGCCGCUGGAUUUAUGGCACACGUGGAAAGAGAUGCAAAACAGAGGUCCGAAGCUAAAAAAAAGGAAAUAAAACGUUCAGACUAUUUGAAAUCGAUGGGCAAUUGCGAAUACCGUAAAGGGAACUAUGAAAAAGCUCUCAUCUACUACAAUCAAGCCAUCGACGUGCGCAAAGACAGCUGCGUACUAUUCACCAACCGGGCGCUAGCCAAGAUCAAUUUGGGUUUGAUGGACGAAGUCGGCGAAGAUUGCGAUCGCGCACUACGUCUCAACGAACGAUCGCUGAACGCUGUCCUUUACAAGGCUGAAGCGUUAUGGUGGCUAGGCGAUAUCCAAACUGCUAAGGAAUUGUUAGAAACCGCUCUCAAAACUCAUCCUGAUCAGACGAAACGCAUUCAAGACUAUCAAAAUAAAUUGAGCAACAGUCGUUAAUAUACCCAUGCUGUAAAUUUCGUCAAUUCUUCACCACCUUCGUGCACAUUAUAAUGCACAAAUGCAGUGAACCAUAUAUUAAAGGCUUUUGGCGUUUUUUAUGUUUAAGAUGUUUAGGGGUUCGUCGUUGAGGAAUUUGGUGAGGCGUUUGGGAUAUUGCAUUUUGAUCUUCCUUCGUUAAACUGACGGUAUUCAAAUAGUAGAUGUUUGAUGGAGAUUUCAGAACCACGUAGUGUGCAUACUACAGAUUUUAUUUUUUUUUCUAUAAAAUGCUUGUAUCAUAAUUAUUCUUUAAGUGAUUCAUUUUUUUAAUUGAAAAUG